RNAcentral lists this ribosomal RNA (254 nucleotides) under uncultured bacterium. RNAcentral's name for it is "partial 16S ribosomal RNA". It matches the Rfam family "Bacterial small subunit ribosomal RNA", at positions 524 to 776 of the family's 1533-position model. The record is from RNAcentral.
UACGGAGGGUGCAAGCGUUAUCCGGAUUCACUGGGUUUAAAGGGUGCGUAGGCGGGCAGGUAAGUCCGUGGUGAAAUCUCUGAGCUUAACUCAGAAACUGCCAUGGAUACUAUUUGUCUUGAAUAUUGUGGAGGUAAGCGGAAUAUGUCAUGUAGCGGUGAAAUGCUUAGAUAUGACAUAGAACACCAAUUGCGAAGGCAGCUUACUACACAGUUAUUGACGCUGAGGCACGAAAAGCGUGGGGAUCAAACAGG